Long non-coding RNA from Cucumis sativus (cucumber), 2744 nucleotides. RefSeq lists it as uncharacterized. NCBI's taxonomy places the organism in Eukaryota, Viridiplantae, Streptophyta, Magnoliopsida, Cucurbitales, Cucurbitaceae. The transcript is spliced from 2 exons. The record is from RefSeq and is a predicted model, not a curated record.
CUUUAAUUCAGCCGGCGAUUAAUUGAGAAACGAUACUAAUAGCCCUUCCCUUUUUCUUCAAUCUUCUUCUCCGGCGAGCCCUAGGCGGCGGAGAUACCCAGUAAGUGGAUACAAAUGUCUUUACUAUAUCAGAUAUCAGUUAGAGAAAUUUAUACUAAACAUACAAUUACAACCCUUCUUUCUAGUUUUGGUAGAUAUGCGUUGGUGUUGUGCAAUUUGCAUAACUCCAUCUCAUCAUCACAGUUUUCCACCUAUCGGGUUGUUUCCAAAAUCCCAUCACCAGUUAGAGAUUUCAGUACCAUUUCAAAUCUUGCUCGUAGUAACUGGUUGAUUAAAAAGCUUGGUAAAGAAGGAAAAAUUGGAGAAGCACGUAAGGUUUUUGAGGAAAUGCCUGAUCGAGAUGUGGUCUCAUGAACUGCUGUGAUUUCUGGGUAUAUUGAAAGUGGAAUGAUUGAGGAAGCCAAGACGUUAUUUGAUAGAAAUGAUGCUAUAAAGAAUGUUGUUACUUGGACAGCAUGGGUUAGUGGGUAUGUAAGAUUGAACAGGAUUGAGGAGGUUAGCAGAUUGUUUGAUGCCAUGCCUGUUAAGAAUGUCGUGUCGUGGAACACUAUGAUUGUUUGAAAAAAUGCCUGAGAGGAAUGUGGUGUCUUGGAAUAUUAUUAUUACAGCGUUGAUGCAACAUAGGAGAGUAGACGAAGCUCAGGAGCUUUUUAAUCGGAUGCCAGAGAAUGAAGCUCAGCUUUUUAAUCGGAUGAAGCUCAGCGUUGAUGCAAUUUGAUUUCCUCAAGGGGCUUGAGGUCAAGCCUUCGGCACCUGUUUGGGCAGCUCUUCUUGCCAGAUAUGUUCAUGGGCAUAAAAACGGCUGAAGAACUCUUAGAAACAGAGCCAGAGAAUGCAGGAACCUUUUUGCUGCUAUCUAACACAUAUGCUUCAACUGGAAAAUGGAGAGAAGCUGCCAGAGUAAGAAAGAAAACCAAGGACAAAGGAUUGAAGAAGCAGCCUGGUUGCAGUUGGAUAGACGUUGGAAAUACAGUGCAUGCAUUCGUAGUGGAUGACAAUUCUCAUUGCGAAUUUGAAAAUAUUUACCUUUUACUUCACGAUCUACAUACGAAAAUGAAGAAGAUUGGUCAUACAUUGCAUGAGGAUUUAACAAUGGAUUUCAAUUUAUGAUGGCAUGAGCCUGGAACUGUCGGGAAAUUUGCAUGGCCAGCCUUAUCUUCUUCAAUGAUGCUAAAUGCGUUGCAAUUAAAUUGUGGAAGAAUAUAAGAGAAUAUUUAUUUGCUUUAUGGUCGGCUACCUAAUUCCUUCUUACUUGGAUGAUCAUGUAACAGUUUCCAUGUGUCGAUGAGAUGUGUUGACAUUGACACCACAGGUAGGGUACAGAACUCUGUUGGAUCAGGGCGCUCAUUCGGUUAUGUGUUUCACAAGAUUUUUACAGAAUAUUAACAUCACAGUAACAGUGUAAUGUCCAUAUUCUUGGCCUUCCAGUUGGCUUUCAAAACCUGGAUGCACCUGUUACGAAAAUUAAAUCAAAGCAAGAAAGAUAAACCAGCCAUUUUUUUGUCCUUUCUCAGCUUCGCAGUGAGAACUAGUAGAAAUGGAUGGUUCAAUUCCUAUCUCCAUGAUACAAGAAUUAUCCAACACACAUAAUUCAUAGACUACGCUUACUUGAUUGUUUCAAUAAUAGCAUUUUCACUCAAUAUGCUUCCUAGUUGCGUUUUCUGAUGAAUAUCAUAAUUUGACUUGUGAAUUUUGAGGUCUGAACCUAGGGUUUAGAGCCAUAGUGAGACCAUGGUGAUUUUCUUUUAUUCUGAAGUUGAUCGAAUCUCUCCUUGGCCUGCUAAUUUUGAGGUCAGGUAUUCUUUUAUAGUUAUUACAAAAGUAAAAGAUAAUUUUUUUUGUUAAAAUUGUACUUUAUUGUCUUAAAUAUAUUUAAGAUAUGAUUUAGAAAAGUAGGUUAUUUAUAAUUUAUUCUACGUUUACUUGUUUAUUUUUGGUUACUCAGUGGUUAGUUAAAUACAUUUUCGAGUGACAAGUUCCUUGAAUUUGUAAUUUUCUUUGUUCUAGAGAUUUUGUGUAAUGGUUUCUUACUUCUUACAUCCUUAUAUUUAAACCAGGAAAUCAAGAGAAAAAAGUGGAGAAGUGUGUAAAAAAACGUAAAAUUUUCUUUUGAGAUGGAAAUUUUCGUUUUGGUAGUCCAAGCUCUCUUCAUUGGGUCUGCUGUAUGUUUUAUUCUUUGUUUAUAUAAGAUCAUAUAACACUUGCAAGCAGACGGUUCAAAAUUAAUCUUUAGAGUCAUAGAAAUUUGUUAAAAUCACAUUUGAUUUAUCAUUUGGUAUGUUUAUAACAUUGUCGCUUCCUUAUAACAGCAAAUUUCCUGUUAUUAAUAUCCACUCCAUCUCUCAUUGUCAGCCAUAUUCACAGGCAAAUGGUAAAUAGGGAAGCAAGCAACUUGUAUGGAUGAGAUUACUUCCACCAUCAAACAACUAAGAUAGAUUUCUUCCCUCUUUUACAGGGAUGACUUCAAAUUUUCUGGAAGAAUAAAAUUUAACUGUUUUUACUAAACUUAUUUAUUGAUUGCUUUUCCUUUCCUCGUUUCCCUCUUGCUCUUGCUCUCUCGCCUUAGUUUGUGAGUUGCCUAAGAAUUGUAUUAUUGUGGUUGUCACCAAGUGUCAAACUCAUAGAAGUCCAUCGACUUGAUAAAUGACUAUGCACUAAUAUAUCUCAUUGAAAAUAUUAGUCUA